AAUUUAUACCAGUGUUGAAACAUAUGGCUGGUUAGAGAAAUGGGGAAUUGUCUGAGACAAUAAAGGUUGUUGAUAACUUUGCUCUGGAGGUCCAUGUUGUACAUCAGUUGAUUGUAGUCCAGUAGUCAUCAUUUGAUUGCUCGAAGUUAGGACAUAACUUCCACUGUCCACAUUUUCUCUUUGGCCAUUGCUAAAUACACUCGACGGCUACAAAAUUAUAAGAUUAGUACAUAUUGAAUGGUAUGUCAUUAGUUAUAUGCAUUAUUUUAGUGGAACAAGUGUUAUAAGUAUAGUAGUGUUCUUACCAUGUCAUUAAAGUUUUCUGCAGUGGUCAAAUACUUAGAAUAGUCGUCAUCUUGAUGAAAGCUUUGAUUGUGUGCUACUAUGGCUGUCUCUUGAUCAAAGCUUGAUGAAGUUCUUGUCAAUGUCUCUUGAUCGGUGUUUGAAUUCUCUAUUAGUGGUGAAGGAAACACAUCACUUGUGGCGGCAGAGACAGGGUUAUAUCCAACAAGGUCAUUGUGUUCAUUUUCUGAAACCAGCAACGAAGCAUUUCCUCCACACUCCUAUUCACAUUAUACGUUAACAAUAUUAUUAUAUACGUAAACUACUAUUCUACUUUGUUUAAAUGCGACUUUUUUUAAAAACAACCAUUUACAUGAAAAGUAACAGAAUGAGAAAACAAGAACAAGAGGUAUAUUAAUUGGCCAACAAAAUGUAGUUAGUCAAAGCAAAAACCGUUUGAUGAGACCAGUGGAUAUAGCAAAGUUUUUGACCGGACAUAUGUAUAUUUAAU
RNAcentral lists this small RNA (793 nucleotides) under Arabidopsis thaliana (thale cress). Its description in RNAcentral is "ATSL015530". The record is from RNAcentral. Lineage: Eukaryota; Viridiplantae; Streptophyta; Magnoliopsida; Brassicales; Brassicaceae.